UGCAAAGGGUAGUUUCUUCUUGAAAAUGCCCCCUAAUCGCUCCACAUUCCGGAUGCGACGUUACGCUAUCGACCCUACUGCUCCUACACCGGCACAGUCUUCGAUCUUGCACUGACUUAGCCGGGUUGCCGCAUUCCGUGGGCAGCACAAAACAGGAGAAUACGACGAUGGCAAAUGGCACCGUCAAAUGGUUCAACACCACCAAAGGCUACGGCUUUAUUGCACCAGAAGAUGGUGGACGCGAUGUGUUCGUGCACAUUUCGGCUGUUGAGCGCGCAGGCCUGACCGGCCUGGCUGACAACCAGAAAGUUACUUUCGACAUCGAGCCCGGCCGUGACGGCCGUGAAGCGGCUGUAAACAUCGCAGUUGUUUGAGCUCUUAUAUUGAAGGGCGGGUCAGUUGACGACCCGCCCUUUACG
This 419-nucleotide unclassified non-coding RNA is filed under the name Falsiruegeria litorea R37. RNAcentral describes it as "Ruegeria litorea R37 cspA". Lineage: Bacteria; Pseudomonadati; Pseudomonadota; Alphaproteobacteria; Rhodobacterales; Roseobacteraceae. The record is from RNAcentral.